This 77-nucleotide transfer RNA is filed under the name Alphaproteobacteria bacterium. RNAcentral describes it as "tRNA-Pro". It matches the Rfam family "tRNA". From Rfam's summary of the family: Transfer RNA (tRNA) molecules are approximately 80 nucleotides in length. Their secondary structure includes four short double-helical elements and three loops (D, anti-codon, and T loops). Further hydrogen bonds mediate the characteristic L-shaped molecular structure. tRNAs have two regions of fundamental functional importance: the anti-codon, which is responsible for specific mRNA codon recognition, and the 3' end, to which the tRNAs corresponding amino acid is attached (by aminoacyl-tRNA synthetases). tRNAs cope with the degeneracy of the genetic code in two manners: having more than one tRNA (with a specific anti-codon) for a particular amino acid; and 'wobble' base-pairing, i.e. permitting non-standard base-pairing at the 3rd anti-codon position. Lineage: Bacteria; Pseudomonadati; Pseudomonadota; Alphaproteobacteria. The record is from RNAcentral. RNAcentral also lists the same sequence under 4 other names.
CGGGAAGUAGCGCAGCCUGGUAGCGCACAUCGCUGGGGGUGAUGGGGUCGGAGGUUCGAAUCCUCUCUUCCCGACCA